Molecule: non-coding RNA, 73 nt
Organism: Helianthus annuus (common sunflower)
Lineage: Eukaryota; Viridiplantae; Streptophyta; Magnoliopsida; Asterales; Asteraceae
Source: Rfam
GUGGGGAAGGUUAAGGUUGGUAAAAUUUCUCUUUGCCAAGGAGAAGACGCGGGUUCGAUUCCCGCUAUCCGCC